RNAcentral lists this ribosomal RNA (680 nucleotides) under uncultured bacterium. RNAcentral's name for it is "bacterial SSU rRNA". It matches the Rfam family "Bacterial small subunit ribosomal RNA", at positions 638 to 1318 of the family's 1533-position model. The record is from RNAcentral.
UGACUNGAGUGCAGAAGGGGAGAGUGGAAUUCCAUGUGUAGCGGUGAAAUGCGUAGAUAUAUGGAGGAACACCAGUGGCGAAAGCGGCUCUCUGGUCUGUCACUGACGCUGAGGCUNGAAAGCGUGGGUAGCGAACAGGAUUAGAUACCCUGGUAGUNCACGCCGUAAACGAUGAGUGCUAGGUGUUAGGCCCUUUCCGGGGCUUAGUGCCGGAGCUAACGCAAUAAGCACUCCGCCUGGGGAGUACGACCGCAAGGUUGAAACUCAAAGGAAUUGACGGGGGCCCGCACAAGCGGUGGAGCAUGUGGUUUAAUUCGAAGCAACGCGAAGAACCUUACCAGGUCUUGACAUCCCGAUGCUAUUCUUAGAGAUAGGAAGUUACUUCGGUACAUCGGAGACAGGUGGUGCAUGGUUGUCGUCAGCUCGUGUCGUGAGAUGUUGGGUUAAGUCCCGCAACGAGCGCAACCCUUAUUGUUAGUUGCCAUCAUUAAGUUGGGCACUCUAGCGAGACUGCCGGUAAUAAACCGGAGGAAGGUGGGGAUGACGUCGAAUCAUCAUGCCCCUUAUGACCUGGGCUACACACGUGCUACAAUGGUCGGUACAACGAGUUGCGAGCCGGUGACGGCAAGCUAAUCUCUGAAAGCCGAUCUCAGUUCGGAUUGGAGGCUGCAACUCGCCUC